AGCCGGGCCAGACGCAGCAGCAGGCCGACGAACCGUGUCAGGAUCGGAAGGUAGCAGCACUAAGCCGGACCUCCUGUGUGCGCUCUGAUAACCCGGCUCUG
This 101-nucleotide signal recognition particle RNA is filed under the name Armatimonadota bacterium. RNAcentral's name for it is "Armatimonadetes bacterium signal recognition particle sRNA small type". It matches the Rfam family "Bacterial small signal recognition particle RNA". Rfam says of the family: The signal recognition particle (SRP) is a universally conserved ribonucleoprotein involved in the co-translational targeting of proteins to membranes. The record is from RNAcentral. Lineage: Bacteria; Bacillati; Armatimonadota.